GAGUUUAGCCAAGAAUGGGAGGAGAAACAUUGGACAAUACCAAGCGGAAAUGAGCUGAUCACAUCAAUGUAGAUCCACCUAAAUAAGACAACUCAAAAGAACUGUCUAACUAUCCACAAAGGAAAAAGCAAAAGAAUGAAGAAUAUCUGUUGUCCAGAUUAUGAUAUAUAGUAUAAUGUGUGACCCAGAAAGUUGGACAACAUACUUAGACAGACAUCAAAGAUGGUGAAGAGAUGACUAGGCCUUCAAAGAGAAUCACAACAAGGAAAACAAAUAUCAAGAAUCAGGCAAAGGAGAGAGUGCUACAGGAAUCACAAGUGAAAGGUGAUUGUGUGAAAUGGAAAAGGAGCCACCAAAAGGUCAAAGAGACCUUGCUAGGAGGAGAUAAGUCAUUUGGAACCAUGCAUCCUCACCUUCAACUGGACAAUUUUUGGAUCUUCUCUCUCCAACCACAGUUGUCAUCAAAUCAGCACAUCUAUAGCAUCUGGAAAGGGUGUGUCUUUUUUUUUUUUUUUGCUGAUCUCGGCAAUACAAGGAUCUAAGACAAUUCAAAAGGACCCAUAACUGAAAAAUGUUAUCCACCUCCAGGGAAAGAAUUGAUGGGGCAUGAAUAUGGAUAGAAGCAUACUAUUUUUCAAUUUAUUUUCUUCUUAGCUUUUUGUAUCUUUGUUGUUAUAUGAGUAUUUUUGCACAUAUGACAUGGAAAUGUAUUUUAUAAUGGUCACACAUGUGUAACCUAGAUUGUUUACCAUCCCAGUGAAAGGGGGGGAAAGGAAGGGAAGGAGAGACUUUGGAUCUAAAAAUUUUAGAAAACAAAUAUUAAAAAUUGUUAUUACAUAUAAUUAGGAAAAAAUAAAAUAUUAUGCAAAAAAAGAAAAGGUAUGCCA
This 887-nucleotide long non-coding RNA is filed under the name Monodelphis domestica (gray short-tailed opossum). Its description in RNAcentral is "lncRNA (ENSMODG00000043483.1)". Lineage: Eukaryota; Metazoa; Chordata; Mammalia; Didelphimorphia; Didelphidae. The record is from RNAcentral.